CGGGCCGGCAAGACGGCCGCGUCGCCGGAAACGGCGCCGAGGAACGUCCGGGCUCCGCAGAGCAGGGCGGUGGGUAACACCCACCCGGGGCAACCCGCGAGACAGUGCAACAGAGAGCAGACCGCCCCGACGCUUCGGCGUCGGGGUAAGGGUGAAAGGGUGGUGUAAGAGACCACCAGCGGCCGAGGUGACUCGGCCGGCUCGGUAAACCUCGCCCGGAGCAAGGUCAGACAGAGGACUAUGGGGCUGCUCGUCCCGUCCUCGGGUAGACCGCUAGAGGGCCGUGGCAACACGUCCCCGAGAGAGAUGGCCGUCCAGGACGCUCGCGUCCGAACAGAACCCGGCGUAUCAGCCGACCCGUUCA
Molecule: RNase P RNA, 364 nt
Filed under: Paramicrobacterium humi
Lineage: Bacteria; Bacillati; Actinomycetota; Actinomycetes; Micrococcales; Microbacteriaceae
Description: Microbacterium sp. CC-012309 Bacterial RNase P class A
Rfam family: Bacterial RNase P class A
About the family: Ribonuclease P (RNase P) is a ubiquitous endoribonuclease, found in archaea, bacteria and eukarya as well as chloroplasts and mitochondria.
Source: Rfam by way of RNAcentral